CGAGUGGUUCUAUUUUGUUGGUUUCUAGAGUCGCCGUAAUGAUUAAUAGGGAUAGUUGGGGGCAUUGGUAUUGAGUCGCUAGAGGUGAAAUUCUUGGAUUGACUCAAGACCAACUAUUGCGAAAGCAUUUGCCAAGGAUGUUUUCAUUAAUCAAGAACGAAGGUUAGGGGAUCGAAAACGAUCAGAUACCGUUGUAGUCUUAACAGUAAACUAUGCCGACUAGGGAUCGGGCAACCUCAAUUAUGAUGUGUUGCUCGGCACCUUACGARAAAUCAAAGUCUUUGGGUUCUGGGGGGAGUAUGGCCCCAAGGCUGAAACUUAAAGGAAUUGACGGAAGGGCACCACCAGGAGUGGAGCCUGCGGCUUAAUUUGACUCAACACGGGGAAACUCACCAGGUCCAGACAUAACUAGGAUUGACAGAUUGAUAGCUCCUUCAUGAUUUUGUGGGUGGUGGUGCAUGGCCGUUCUUAGUUGGUGGAGUGAUUUGUCUGGGUAAUUCCGAUAACGAACGAGACCUUAACCUGCUAAAAAGCCCGGCCGGCUUUUGCUGGUCGCCGGCUUCUUAGAGGGACUGUCAGCGUCUAGCUGAACGAAGUUUGAGGCAAUAAAAGGUCUGUGAUGCCCUUAGAUGUUCUGGGCCCCACACGCGCUACCCUGACAGGGCCAACGAGCAUUUCCCCUUGGGCGGAAGGUCUGGAUAAUCUUGUGAUUAACCCUGGCCUGC
Molecule: ribosomal RNA, 725 nt
Filed under: uncultured fungus
Lineage: Eukaryota; Fungi
Description: SSU rRNA
Rfam family: Eukaryotic small subunit ribosomal RNA
Source: RNAcentral